UUGUAUUGCUGGGGGAGCCGAAUUGGCUGAGAAGUAGACACCUACUGACCCUUAUUACUUGAUCCAGUUAGUACUGGCGUAAGGAAGCACCAAACGUCCUCC
RNAcentral lists this non-coding RNA (102 nucleotides) under Lachnoclostridium phytofermentans. RNAcentral describes it as "Clostridium phytofermentans TPP sequence". It matches the Rfam family "TPP riboswitch aptamer (THI element)". Rfam says of the family: Vitamin B(1) in its active form thiamin pyrophosphate (TPP) is an essential coenzyme that is synthesised by coupling of pyrimidine and thiazole moieties in bacteria. The previously detected thiamin-regulatory element, thi box was extended, resulting in a new, highly conserved RNA secondary structure, the THI element, which is widely distributed in eubacteria and also occurs in some archaea. Analysis of operon structures identified a large number of new candidate thiamin-regulated genes, mostly transporters, in various prokaryotic organisms. RNAcentral also lists the same sequence under 1 other name. The record is from RNAcentral. Lineage: Bacteria; Bacillati; Bacillota; Clostridia; Lachnospirales; Lachnospiraceae.